AGAUGGCGACCGGCGCACGGGUGAGUAACACGUAUCCAACCUGCCGAUAACUCGGGGAUAGCCUUUCGAAAGAAAGAUUAAUACCCGAUGGCAUAAUUAGACCGCAUGGUCUUAUUAUUAAAGAAUUUCGGUUAUCGAUGGGGAUGUGUUCCAUUAGGCAGUUGGUGAGGUAACGGCUCACCAAACCUUCGAUGGAUAGGGGUUCUGAGAGGAAGGUCCCCCACAUUGGAACUGAGACACGGUCCAA
RNAcentral lists this ribosomal RNA (247 nucleotides) under uncultured bacterium. RNAcentral's name for it is "partial 16S ribosomal RNA". It matches the Rfam family "Bacterial small subunit ribosomal RNA", at positions 86 to 334 of the family's 1533-position model. The record is from RNAcentral.